ACGUGUUUUAUUUUGGAAUUGGG
This 23-nucleotide non-coding RNA is filed under the name Arabidopsis thaliana (thale cress). The record is from RNAcentral. Lineage: Eukaryota; Viridiplantae; Streptophyta; Magnoliopsida; Brassicales; Brassicaceae.